This 450-nucleotide ribosomal RNA is filed under the name uncultured bacterium. RNAcentral describes it as "partial 16S ribosomal RNA". It matches the Rfam family "Bacterial small subunit ribosomal RNA", at positions 354 to 796 of the family's 1533-position model. The record is from RNAcentral.
GUAGGGAAUCUUCCGCAAUGGACGAAAGUCUGACGGAGCAACACCGCGUGAACGAUGAAGGCUUUCGGGUCGUAAAACUCUGUUGUUAGGGAAGAACAAGUACGAGAGUAACUGCUCGUACCUUGACGGUACCUAACCAGAAAGCCACGGCUAACUACGUGCCAGCAGCCGCGGUAAUACGUAGGUGGCAAGCGUUGUCCGGAAUUAUUGGGCGUAAAGCGCGCGCAGGCGGUUCCUUAAGUCUGAUGUGAAAGCCCACGGCUCAACCGUGGAGGGUCAUUGGAAACUGGGGAACUUGAGUGCAGAAGAGAAGAGUGGGAUUCCACGUGUAGCGGUGAAAUGCGUAGAGAUGUGGAGGAACACCAGUGGCGAAGGCGACUCUUUGGCCUAUAACUGACGCUGAGGCGCGAAAGCGUGGGGAGCAAACAGGAUUAGAAACCCGUGUAGUCC